AUGAGGAACUUGAAAGACGAAAGAACUAAGAUUUUGCCCUCAACUAUGAUGGGAGGUAAGGAACUGCCAUCUAGCUCUGCACUAGAUUCUCCUUCCGUUAUUAGUAAGUUUGCGACACCUAAACCUGCUACUGCUAUGAAUUCUGAUAUGUCGCAUGUUAUUGAUGAUGCCACUUCUACUAUGGAUGAUACUCAUCAUGGAACUACUUCUGUGUGUGAUACUGCUUUGCCAUUAGGUGAAUUUCUUGAUGAACAACUUGCUAGGGUUAGAGAGAAUGAAAUUAAUGAAGAUGCUAUUACUGAUGAUAGUGAUGAUGAAAGUUCUCCCCCUGAUUAUGAAUUACCUGUUGUUCCUGAGGGUUAUAUUAUGAAUGAGGAAGCUGCUAAAGCUAUUUUUGCUUGCAAAGAUAGAUAUGAUCUUAAAAAGUUAUUAGCUAAAUGGAAGCAGCAAUCCCUUAAUGCUAGAAUGAAACCUGACCCUGCUUUUGCUACCUCACCUAUCUGUGUUACUGAUAAGGAUUAUGAAUUCUCUGUUCAUCCUGAAAUAAUUACUUUGGUUGAAUCUGAUCCUUUUUAUGGCUAUGAAUCUCAAACUGUUGUGGCACAUCUUACCAAGUUAAAUGAUAUAGCCACCCUGUUUACUAAUGAUGAGAAGUCUUGCUAUUAUUAUAUCCUUAAGAUAUUCCCGUUCUCAUUAAAGGGUGAUGCUAAGACUUGGUUUAAUUCUCUUGAUCCUAGUUGUGUGCGUAGUCCCCAGGAUAUGAUUUAUUACUUCUCCGCUAAAUAUUUUCCUGCUCAUAAGAAACAAGCUGUCUUGCGUGAAAUAUAUAAUUUUGUGUAA
Molecule: ribosomal RNA, 840 nt
Filed under: Triticum aestivum (bread wheat)
Lineage: Eukaryota; Viridiplantae; Streptophyta; Magnoliopsida; Poales; Poaceae
Description: partial small subunit ribosomal RNA
Source: RNAcentral